RNAcentral lists this transfer RNA (76 nucleotides) under Klebsiella pneumoniae. Its description in RNAcentral is "tRNA-Asn". It matches the Rfam family "tRNA". Rfam says of the family: Transfer RNA (tRNA) molecules are approximately 80 nucleotides in length. The record is from RNAcentral. RNAcentral also lists the same sequence under 4 other names. Lineage: Bacteria; Pseudomonadati; Pseudomonadota; Gammaproteobacteria; Enterobacterales; Enterobacteriaceae.
UCCUCUGUAGUUCAGUCGGUAGAACGGCGGACUGUUAAUCCGUAUGUCACUGGUUCGAGUGCAGUCAGAGGAGCCA